AAUGAACGCUGGCGGCAUGCCUAACACAUGCAAGUCGAACGAAGCCUUCGGGCUUAGUGGCGCACGGGUGCGUAACGCGUGGGAAUCUGCCCUUGGGUUCGGAAUAACAGUGAGAAAUUACUGCUAAUACCGGAUGAUGUACGAAAAGACCAAAAGAUUUAUCGCCCGAGGAUGAGCCCGCGUAGGAUUAGCUAGUUGGUGAGGUAAAAGCUCACCAAGCGACGAUCCUUAGCNGGUCUGAGAGGUAUGAAUCAGCCACACUGGGACUGAGACACGGCCCAGACUC
This 286-nucleotide ribosomal RNA is filed under the name uncultured bacterium. Its description in RNAcentral is "partial 16S ribosomal RNA". It matches the Rfam family "Bacterial small subunit ribosomal RNA", at positions 29 to 338 of the family's 1533-position model. The record is from RNAcentral.